CCUACGGGGGGCUGCAGCUAAGAAUAUUCCGCAAUGGACGAAAGUCUGACGGAGCGACGCCGCGUGGAUGAAGAAGGCCGAAAGGUUGUAAAAUCCUUUUGUUGGGGAAGAAUAAGCGUGGGAGGGAAUGCCCGCGUGAUGACAUGAACCGACGAAUAAGUCCCGGCUAACUACGUGCCAGCAGCCGCGGUAACACGUAGGGGACAAGCGUUGUUCGGAAUUACUGUAGGCGAAUGGCAUGUAGGGGCGUGAAAGUCACCGGCUCAACCGGUGGAUUGCGUUAGGAACUGCAGAGCUUGAGUCAUGGAGAGGAAGGUAGAAUUCCUGGUGUAGGGGUGAAAUCUGUAGAGAUCAGGAAGAAUACCAGUGGCGAAGGCGACCUUCUGGCCAAUGACUGACGCUGAGGUGCGAAAGUGUGGGGAUCAAACAGGAUUAGAUACCCGAGUAGUC
Molecule: ribosomal RNA, 450 nt
Filed under: uncultured bacterium
Lineage: Bacteria
Description: partial 16S ribosomal RNA
Rfam family: Bacterial small subunit ribosomal RNA
Source: RNAcentral